AUGACAUGUGCUUUCCCUAACAGUAACUAAGACUACCUACUGCAGUGUCAUGGCUGGAGUUGUCAUCAUGCUUUAGAGUCAUACAAGACUUGCAUCCCUAGAGGAAUCACCGCUAUUUAUCAAAAUGGUUGUCCACCUUUAUUGCCCAGUCACCCUAGUUGUCCAAGACCUGGAACAUCAUACCUAAAAAAUGGGACAUGCUAGACGAAAACAGCUUUCAGAUUUGAAGUCGAUACUGCAGAUGUCCAAGAAGGAAAACAAACAUCCUGGCUGGGAAGGGGGAUGAUUUCUUACGUAGAUAGGGAGCCAGAUUGGAGGGACAGAUGGGUUGACUGGCUGGAUGAAGAAACAACCUUAUGCCCAGCUGGAAUAAUAUGAUGGUUGGAC
Long non-coding RNA from Polypterus senegalus (gray bichir), 387 nucleotides. RefSeq lists it as uncharacterized. The transcript is spliced from 3 exons. NCBI's taxonomy places the organism in Eukaryota, Metazoa, Chordata, Cladistia, Polypteriformes, Polypteridae. The record is from RefSeq and is a predicted model, not a curated record.